AUGGUACAGAUAGUUUGUUGCCUGGGAGUACCUACGCUCUCUCAUACUUAAAGGAAUUGGCGGGGGAGCACAAGGGCUUUUCUCGUUCUUGCCUUCAAUUCCCCCUAAAGUGAUUCUUAUUACAUUUCACUGGCCGUCGUUUUACGACGUAUGGGCUGCCGGGAAUUCUGCAUAACUAGGAAGUGGGAGAGGUAGACGGUACUCGGUAGGAAGGGGUAAAAUCCUUUGAUCUAUUGAUGACCACCUGUGGCGAACGCGGUCUACCAGAACACGUUCGACGGUGAGGGAUGAAAGCUGGGGGAGCAAACCGGAUUAGAUACCCGGGUAGUCCCAGCUGUAAACUAUGCAAACUCAGUGAUGCAUUGGCUUAUGGCCAAUGCAGUGCUGCAGGGAAGCCGUUAAGUUUGCCGCCUGGGAAGUACGUACUGAGUAUGAAACUUACUGGAAUUGGCGGGGGAGCACAAGG
RNAcentral lists this ribosomal RNA (466 nucleotides) under uncultured archaeon. RNAcentral's name for it is "bacterial SSU rRNA". The stretch from base 70 to 466 matches the Rfam family "Archaeal small subunit ribosomal RNA", at positions 1 to 883 of the family's 1478-position model. The record is from RNAcentral.